Non-coding RNA from Taeniopygia guttata (zebra finch), 411 nucleotides. Lineage: Eukaryota; Metazoa; Chordata; Aves; Passeriformes; Estrildidae. The record is from RefSeq and is a predicted model, not a curated record.
AAAAAUUUACCCCAAAUUUGCCGAAAUUUGACCGAAAUUUGACCGAAAUUUGACCCAAAUCGGGCGAAUUUUGCUUCCGGAAAGGGGAGGGGGCGUGGCUUAAGCAAAGGGGCGUGGCUUUGGGCUGGUUUGGAGGGACCCCCCCAAAAAAUAAAAAAAAACCAAAAAUUGUCUUUUUUGGGGGGAUUUCCCAAAAAUUGGGUGACCCCUCCCCCCCAGGGGUCCCCUCGGCUGCCUCCUCCCCCACCAUGGCCGAGGAUCUGGAGCCGCUCCUGGGGGGAGAAGGAUUCCUGGAUUUAUGGAACAUGCUCCCCAAUAGCAUCAAUUCCUUGCCCGAGGAUCUGCUGGAAUGGCAGCAGCUGAGCCCCCCCGAGCCCCCCGAGGGGGCGGGGCCAGCGGAGGGGGCGGGGC